AGUGAGAAGACGGGCCAAGAAAAGUGAGUUGUGUGUGUACUUGGGCCCAGCUCCUGAAGAAAUGUCACCAGGAGUUCCCAGAUUGCCUAGUUCAAGUUUCAAACGGGGCUUUCUUUCUAAGGACGAUGGUAACCCAGAGCUGGCUUCCUAGUCUCCAGCCUGCACCGCUGUGCUUAGCUCCACCUGGUGGCCACAUGGCCCACUGCAGCGGCUUCCGCAGACUGCCAAGAGGCAGCAGGAAGGACCACAUCUAAGCACUGCAAGGUCCGUUGGGUUGCUCAGGGAGAUUUUCACACGCUGCCAGUGAAGUUCAAAGCCUGGCUGGAAGCUUCCAGCGCAAAGAAGCCCGUCCAAAAUACCCUUGGCGCUGACAAGGCAUCGGCAAGAGACCUUGUGGGUGCUAAGUCCAUGCCCUGCCACCUUCACAUGCUUCUCAGGAGCCCUUCAGAAGACAGAUCAGUGGUUGCUAUGCAGCGCUAAGGAAAUGGCAGGUCCUGCUAAUAAUCCAGCGUGGCCCAAUGCCUUCCAUGGAAUCUAUCCUAAAAAGACCUCUGCAGCAUCACCCCUUCACACUGAUGCUACCAGGAGAGAUACAUCAGUCCCCCAGGAUUCCACUAUUGGCUCUUUAAAAGAUGAAGACCUGCUUAGCAUUUGGCCUAGUAAAUGCUCUCAUCAUUUCCAACAGACAAUAUAUAUUUGUGAUAUUGGAUAUUGAUUGUCAACUUGACAGGAUCUCAAAUUACCUAAAAGACAAGUUUUAGGGCAUUAUCUAGAGUGGGUUAACUGAAAGGGAAGACCUGCUCUAACUGUCUGACCAAUAUGAGAGAGAGAGAGAGAGAGAGAGAGAGAGAGAGAGAGAGAGAGAGAGAGAGAGAGAGAGAAGGGGUGGGAACAAGCACUGUUCAUCUGCCUCAGCCUCCUGACUGUAGAUACAAUGUCACCAGCUUCCUCAAGCUCCUGUU
Molecule: non-coding RNA, 962 nt
Organism: Peromyscus maniculatus bairdii (prairie deer mouse)
Lineage: Eukaryota; Metazoa; Chordata; Mammalia; Rodentia; Cricetidae
Source: RefSeq, a predicted model, not a curated record